Molecule: ribosomal RNA, 468 nt
Filed under: uncultured bacterium
Lineage: Bacteria
Description: partial 16S ribosomal RNA
Rfam family: Bacterial small subunit ribosomal RNA
Source: RNAcentral
GACGAACGCUGGCGGCGUGCUUAACACAUGCAAGUCGAACGGAAAGGCCCUGCUUUUGUGGGGUGCUCGAGUGGCGAACGGGUGAGUAACACGUGAGUAACCUGCCCUUGACUUUGGGAUAACUUCAGGAAACUGGGGCUAAUACCGGAUAGGAGCUCCUGCUGCAUGGUGGGGGUUGGAAAUUUUCGGCGGUUGGGGAUGGACUCGCGGCUUAUCAGCUUGUUGGUUGGGUAGUUGCUUACCAAGGCUUUGACGGGUAGCCGGCCUGAGAGGGUGACCGGCAACAUUGGGACUGAGAUACGGACCAGACUCCUACGGGAGGCAGCAGUGGGGAAUAUUGCACAAUGGGAGGAAGCCUGAUGCAGCAACGCCGCGUGCGGGAUGACGGCCUUCGGGUUGUAAACCGCUUUCGCAUGUGACGAAGCGUGAGUGACGGUAAUGGGUAAAGAAGCACCGGCUAACUACGUG